Molecule: microRNA, 22 nt
Filed under: Corchorus olitorius
Lineage: Eukaryota; Viridiplantae; Streptophyta; Magnoliopsida; Malvales; Malvaceae
Description: aly-miR156b-
Source: RNAcentral
GCUCACAUCUCUUUCUGUCAGC